This 764-nucleotide ribosomal RNA is filed under the name Usnochroma scoriophila. RNAcentral describes it as "LSU rRNA". It matches the Rfam family "Eukaryotic large subunit ribosomal RNA", at positions 165 to 944 of the family's 3401-position model. The record is from RNAcentral. Lineage: Eukaryota; Fungi; Ascomycota; Lecanoromycetes; Teloschistales; Teloschistaceae.
CGGGCGCGGCGUCGGUCCAAGUUCCUUGGAACGGGGCGUCAUAGAGGGUGAGAAUCCCGUAUGUGACCGGCGAUCUAGCCCAUGUGAAACUCCUUCGACGAGUCGAGUUGUUUGGGAAUGCAGCUCAAAUUGGGUGGUAAAUUUCAUCUAAAGCUAAAUACCGGCCAGAGACCGAUAGCGAACAAGUAGAGUGAUCGAAAGAUGAAAAGCACUUUGGAAAGAGAGUUAAAAAGUACGUGAAAUUGUUGAAAGGGAAGCGCUUGCAACCAGACCUGCCCGCGGGCGGUCAGCCGUCUUUCCAAGGCGGUGUACUCGACCGCGAUCAGGCCAGCAUCGGUUCGGGCGGUCGGAUAAAGGCCCUGGGAAUGUGGCUCCUUUCGGGGAGUGUUAUAGCCCUGGGUGCAAUGCGGCCCGCCUGGAUCGAGGACCGCGCUUCGGCUAGGAUGCUGGCGUAAUGGUUGUAAGCGGCCCGUCUUGAAACACGGACCAAGGAGUCUAACAUCUAUGCGAGUGUUUGGGUGUCGAAACCCAUGCGCGGAAUGAAAGUGAAUGGAGGUGGGAACCCCGAGAGGGCGCACCAUCGACCGAUCCAGAUGUCCUCGGAUGGAUUUGAGUACGAGCAUGGCUGUUGGGACCCGAAAGAUGGUGAACUAUGCCUGAAUAGGGUGAAGCCAGAGGAAACUCUGGUGGAGGCUCGCAGCGGUUCUGACGUGCAAAUCGAUCGUCAAAUUUGGGUAUAGGGGCGAAAGACUAAUCGAACCAUU